UACAGAGGUGGCAAGCGUUGUUCGGAAUUACUGGGCGUAAAGGGCGCGUAGGCGGUUCGUUAAGUCCUGUGUGAAAUCCCCCGGCUCAACUGGAGAACUGCACAGGAAACUAGCGGGCUUGAGUUCGGGAGAGGGAAGCGGAAUUCCGGGUGUAGCGGUGAAAUGCGUAGAUAUCCGGAGGAACACCGGUGGCGAAGGCGGCUUCCUGGACCGACACUGACGCUGAGGCGCGAAAGCUAGGGGAGCAAACGGG
Molecule: ribosomal RNA, 253 nt
Filed under: uncultured bacterium
Lineage: Bacteria
Description: partial 16S ribosomal RNA
Rfam family: Bacterial small subunit ribosomal RNA
Source: RNAcentral